UAAAGGCUUGAAGAUAGGAGAGAUGGCACUGACCAGGUCUGUUAAUUGUGGAUAUCCUAUCUUGGUGAACAGCCUGAAAGACAAUGAGGAACACGAGUGUUGUUUAUCAUCCUGAUGCUCUUGAGCAGCACCAUGGGGAACAACACGGAAGUGAAUGUGAAGUGCUGAGGAUGCAGGGAGAAGUGAAAGGAAGAAGUGCCUUUGCAGCCCCCGUUCAAAUGCAUGUCACAUUGUGCCCUGGGACUGUGCUACUGUGCUGAUAUGCAAGUACAGGGUAGACCUGUGGCAACACUUUGGUUGUCUUCACAUCUUUGUAACUGGCUGUUUUCUACUUGUGUGUCUAGCUCAGCACAGUCGUGUUUGAAGGUAUUUGAGCCAAUGCAAACACUACUUAAAUGGCAAAGAUCAUAAGCAAACAAAGAAUUCUGUUCAAUCAAAUAAAAGACAUUUAAGCAAAUAGUA
Myiozetetes cayanensis is the source of this 462-nucleotide long non-coding RNA. RefSeq lists it as uncharacterized. NCBI's taxonomy places the organism in Eukaryota, Metazoa, Chordata, Aves, Passeriformes, Tyrannidae. The record is from RefSeq and is a predicted model, not a curated record. The transcript is spliced from 2 exons.